AGAGAGAGACAUGCGCGCAUAUCAAUAAGCGGAGGAAAAGAAACUAACAAGGAUUCCCUUAGUAACGGCGAGUGAAGCGGGAAGAGCUCAAAUUUGAAAUCUUCAAGGGUUCUACCUUGACGAAUUGUAGUUUAAAGAAGUGUUUUCUGUUGGAGGUUUCGGUAAAAGUUCUUUGGAAUAGGACAUCAUAGAGGGUGAGAAUCCCGUAUUUGACCGUUACUUUUCAGCUGUGUGAUACACUUUCAAAGAGUCGGAUUGUUUGGGAAUGCAGUCCAAAAUGGGUGGUAAAUUUCAUCUAAAGCUAAAUAUUGGCGAGAGACCGAUAGCGAACAAGUACCGUGAGGGAAAGAUGAAAAGAACUUUGAAAAGAGAGUUAAACAGUACGUGAAAUUGUCAAAAGGGAAGCGUUUGACACCAGUGUUGUUUUUCUGAAAAUCAAUUAAAGAACUGUUUAUGCUAAGUUGUUUAGACUUUAUCAGCUAACUGUUUAGUUUUGAGCUUUUCUUUAAUGCACUUUUCAGUUAACAAGUCAACAUCAAUUUCUUUUGCUGUAAAAAAGCUUGAGGAAGGUGGCUUGAGAUUCGUCUUAAGUGUUUAUAGCCUCUUGCCUAUGCAGUCGGAGAGAUUGAGGUCUGCAGCGUAGAUCCUUCGGGGCUAAAUGCAUUUGUGCUAAGUUAUAGCAUUUUAUAGACAACUUGUUGACUAUGAUUUGUCUUGUAGCUUACUCGCUUAUGUUAUUUUACCUACGCUUAGGAUGUUGAGCGCAUGUCUCUCUCU
This 777-nucleotide ribosomal RNA is filed under the name uncultured Neocallimastigales. RNAcentral describes it as "partial large subunit ribosomal RNA". It matches the Rfam family "Eukaryotic large subunit ribosomal RNA", at positions 23 to 616 of the family's 3401-position model. The record is from RNAcentral. Lineage: Eukaryota; Fungi; Neocallimastigomycota; Neocallimastigomycetes; Neocallimastigales.